GACGAACGCUGGCGGCGUGCUUAACACAUGCAAGUCGAACGGAAAGGCCCUGCUUUUGUGGGGUGCUCGAGUGGCGAACGGGUGAGUAACACGUGAGUAACCUGCCCUUGACUUUGGGAUAACUUCAGGAAACUGGGGCUAAUACCGGAUAGGAGCUCCUGCUGCAUGGUGGGGGUUGGAAAGUUUCGGCGGUUGGGGAUGGACUCGCGUCUUAUCAGCUUGAUGGUGGGGUAGUGGCUUACCAAGGCUUUGACGGGUAGCCGGCCUGAGAGGGUGACCGGCCACAUUGGGACUGAGAUACGGCCCAGCCUCCUACGGGAGGCAGCAGUGGGGAAUAUUGCACAAUGGGCGGAAGCCUGAUGCAGCAACGCCGCGUGCGGGAUGACGGCCUUCGGGUUGUAAACCGCUUUCGCCUGUGACGAAGCGUGAGUGACGGUAAUGGGUAAAGAAGCACCGGCUAACUACGUG
RNAcentral lists this ribosomal RNA (468 nucleotides) under uncultured bacterium. RNAcentral's name for it is "partial 16S ribosomal RNA". It matches the Rfam family "Bacterial small subunit ribosomal RNA", at positions 28 to 507 of the family's 1533-position model. The record is from RNAcentral.